CAGCCGCGGAAUUCCAGCUCCAAUAGCGUAUAUUAAAGUUGCUGCAGUUAAAAAGCUCGUAGUUGAAUUUCGGGACUAAUAUGUCGGUCGUGCCUCGGUACGUACUGGCUUAUUGGUUUCUCCUUUCUGAAGAACCAUGAUGUCAUUUAUUUGGUGUCGUGGGGAAUCAGGACUGUUACUUUGAAAAAAUUAGAGUGUUUAAAGCAGGCUCACGCUUGAAUACAUUAGCAUGGAAUAAUGAAAUAGGACGUUUGAUUCUAUUUUGUUGGUUUCUAGGAUCGACGUAAUGAUUAAUAGGGAUAGUUGGGGGCAUUAGUAUUCAAUUGUCAGAGGUGAAAUUCUUGGAUUUAUUGAAGACUAACUACUGCGAAAGCAUUUGCCAAGGAUGUUUUCAUUAAUCAAGAACGAAAGUUAGGGGAUCGAAGACGAUCAGAUACCGUCGUAGUCUUAACCAUAAACUAUGCCGACUAGGGAUCGGAUGAUGUUAAUUUUUUAAUGACUCAUUCGGCACCUUACG
This 517-nucleotide unclassified non-coding RNA is filed under the name uncultured Glomeromycotina. RNAcentral describes it as "SSU rRNA". It matches the Rfam family "Eukaryotic small subunit ribosomal RNA", at positions 571 to 1092 of the family's 1831-position model. The record is from RNAcentral. Lineage: Eukaryota; Fungi; Glomeromycota.